Molecule: long non-coding RNA, 38908 nt
Filed under: Zostera marina
Lineage: Eukaryota; Viridiplantae; Streptophyta; Magnoliopsida; Alismatales; Zosteraceae
Description: long non-coding RNA (ZMAR_LNC003439)
Rfam family: tRNA (bases 16190-16263)
Source: RNAcentral
UCCAUCCAAUCUUUCCAACAACUAAAUUAUAUAUAAAGUCAUAAUUCCUCACAUGCAUAAGGAUGCAAAUGAAAUAAACCCUAAAAAAUUAGCCAACUACCCACUAAAAAAACAUACCCAGUGCUGUCUGAAAAGUGUCAGAAUCAAUCGAUGAUGUGAAACUGUGAAUGAAUAGGAUCCACCGAUCGGAAUCCACUCAAGAAUCUAUAUAAACGUACAUCGAUCUAUACAUGUAAGUAGGUUAGAACAGAUAUAAGAAAGAGAAGAGCUUCCUGCAGCCAGCCGGGUGAGUAGUUGCCAUACUAUUCUUGUCAAGUAAACAGAUCUUAGCAGAUCAAUCUUAUCUUCGUUGUCUGUUCGACCUUGAUAACUCGCAUGUAUUAAUCAACUCUUUUUCAUCUCUGCCUGAUUACCUGCCCAGAUUUUUUCGAUAUUUUACAAUUUUCAUUUUCUUCUUCUAGCUUGUGGUAGGUAGCAAUAAAAAUCACUUGCAGUGUCCUUGGGUACAGCCCGUCCAAAAGAUCACACGUGUUUAUUUACAUCUCAUGAUCCUAGAUUAACUAAGAUAAAAAAAACUUACGGAGAUAUUAAUUCAACUAAUCACGAUAACUAUUAAAAUUGUUAAAAUUAUCGUUUAGAGUUCUAAUCUCUUUGUGUAUUUAAUUUUUAUCAUGAUAUAAACCUUAGCUAGAAUUGAUUUAAUUUAAUCAACAUGCAUUCAAGGUCGAAUUGGCAAUGAAAAUGAGGUGUGUUUGGUAUGAGGACUGUGUACUUGAGAAGGUUUAGUUUGGCAACAACACCUCCACCGAUUCCUAUCUCUAUAACUCCUAUUUAAUCAUAAGAUUUGUUUAUAACUAAACUAUAUAACUAGUGAAAGUCGGGAAGAGAAUCAAUUAGUUUUUUUGUUUUAUAUUUUUAUACUUUGUGUAAUCUUGUCAAAUAGCCAAAUAUAAAAUCAUUAUUUUAAAAAAUAAAAUAAUUUUUAUUAAAAAAAGAUAAUGUUCAAAUUACAUAGAGAAUAAAAAUAUAUAUAAAAAAUGAAUAAAAAAUUUAUUGACAUUUUCUCAUUAGUUAUGUAGUCUGGUUAUAAAAUAAUUAGAUACGUUGUCUUAGAAAAUUAAUCUUCUAUACUUUUAUCGUAAAUAUCUUUAAAUGGUGAUAACAACUUUUUUUUUGUAACACUCUAAUAUUAAAGAAGAAAUUGUAUAAAAUCAUUACUUAGCGAUAUGAUAAUCAAUUAAACUAGAUGCAUGGAUCUCAAGAGCUCGAACACCAAAUUAGACUUGGGCCCUAUGACAAGCCCAUUAUGAACCUCGCGUUGGACUUUCUUCUUAAAUCUGGUCCAUAUACAAAAUCUCGCAGUCCACAGAUCAGGUGAAUAUAUUAAUUAAUUCACAAAUUCAACACUCAAACUUUUGUAUUAGAUAAUAAGAAUUAAGAUCUUUACAACUACACCAGUCACCACUCACCACUCACCACUCACCAAGCAGCUAAUGAUAAUGACAUAAAAAUGUUGUAUUUUUAACUUCUUAUGCAAACAACAGAAAUUUACCUCAAAAUAAUAAUAAUAACAAAUUAAUAAUUGUAACACCACCAAACCAGCUCACUUGUUUUUCUUCUUUUUCUUCUUCUUCGAUUUGGACUUGGAACCACGUUGUGGCUUGUUAGUCACGGAAGCCCGAAUGGAACUUGGAUCCUCCUCCUCAAAUCCAAUACCAGUAUUCCUGGGAAUGGAACUUUCAUCGACCUCUUCACCUCCGAAACCGUAUUCAUUGAUUCGUUUCUUAUCAACUGGGUAAAUCCAUUUUUGGUAAAUAAAUAUCACAAAGAUAAGAUCUGCACCCAAUUAAAUGCAGUUAGCAUCAGACAUCCAGAUUUAUGUAAAGAUGGCGAUGGACUGUAUUUACGUAAAUAAUGAAUAGCUCAGAAGCUCACCAUCACGAAAAACAGAAAGUCGGUGCAAUGUUGGCAUUUUGAUGACAAAUGCAAAUAGAUCAUCAAUGAUGGUGUUGAGAAACUUGUAAGUCAUCUGUCUCCAAGGAAGAUGAGCUACUGAUUUCAUUUUAUAAUUUAUGAAUAACUGUGGACACAUCAUGAUGAAACCUGCAGUGAAGAAUGAAUAUCAAUGAGAAAUGAUGCCUGGAUGAGGGACGGUGAUCGUGCAAUAUCAGUAAUUAAUUACUAACUAGACGGGAAUUGAAGCUUACCAAACAUAUAUACACAGGUGGUGAGAGAAGAUAGUAUCCAAGAAUACCAGCUUUUGUGGCGUUUAUACAUGAGAGAAUAGACAGAGAAACCCAGUAUUAGUAUGGAAAUAACGUAGUAUAAAUACUUCAUGGCAAGAUCAUCAUAUUCUUUAGUCUUGUUCCUUUUAUAUGAUUCAUGAUUUCGAAAUCUUAACAUCGGAAACCACCCACUUCUGUCAAUCUGAAAUAGAAGAAGAAAAAAAGAAGAGUGAGGGAAAUCUAAUACUCAUUAACAAGAAUCGUCUAAACCCCAAUAAUUCGCCCAUCCAUGUAUGUGCCCAAGAAAAAUAAUAACCAAUCUUAGUACUUCUAGCUAGCUAUUCAAUCUUUAUUAUAUUGCUACACCUUGAUCAUUAGAGGUUAGGACCAUUGUGCAUGGUUAUAUUUUUGUAAAAUGAUCAAGAGUCAAGAAAUACAUACCUUGAUAUGCAUAGCUUUUCCAAUUUUCCAAAACUCAAUGCAGCAACCAGCGGCGGUGCUUAGUAGUAUCAUCCAUGAAGUAUCAUUGUCGAGAAGAUAAAGGAAUAUAACUAUCUGACAUAUAAAAUUCACAACCACAGAUUUUGCAGAUAAUCCUUUCAUAGAUUUGUUUUUCUUCCAAAAUUGAAUAUCUGUAAGAAAAUAAAUAUGAAAAAGUAUUAAUACUUUCAACUUUGAUCUGAUAAAAAAACAAUUUAUCUUGAAUAAUAUAAAAAUAACAAUGGGAUUACAUUUUUUACUGAUUACCAUUUUUAAAUGCUAGGAAAUCAAAGACAGAAUGGAAUAUUGAAACCACCAUUGUUAAUGCCAGUAGAUAUGGAUUCCCUUCCAAGUAUACUCUCUGUAAAACAGCACAUUGAAAACUCAAAAGUGUUGCGAAAAAAAUUCAGAUGACCAAGGUACAUGAAGUAAAAUCGAAAGAGGUCAGAUAUUAAAAAUAGCCUGAAAAAAAUUAUAUAUAAACAUACGAAAUUACAAAUACAUGAUGUUUUAAUUUAAUUAGUUUAAUAAGGUCAGUACCUUCAACCCAUCAGAUUCUCCUUCAAUCAUAAGUCCAUAGUUGUUAUGCAACUGGAAAGAUAGUUCUAUCUGUUGGAAUAUUUGCCACUUGGUCUUACUAAUUGAACCAAGUUCUAGAUAUAGGGGCAGCUCCAGAACAGUCUCAUUUAAUGGAAUGAAUUGAUCUUUUAAAAGCCAAAACUCAUUGAAGUACACAAUGGGAGAAUAUCUCAGGUUCUUAGGUUCCACAAUCAGUUCUGUAGACUGUUAUAAGGAUCAUAAUAGAAUAAUGCUAAAGCAAAUAUGGAAAUAUAUAUAAUACGAGCAUGGAAUAUUUCAAAACUGUUGUGGAUUAUUUCGACAGUUGUACUAAUUCAGGAAAAAACAUUCAACUUCUGUCUAUUUUUUUAUUACUAAUUAAUUUUUACUUAAUUAGUCUAAGCCAGAGAAGGCUUGCAUGAGGUAGCAACUAGUAAAUGGUUUCACGAGACUAAAGUUUGCAUGAGGUCAUGAAUCUUACUCUCAAGAGUUUUAACCUUUGUAAUUAAAUUUUUUGUAAUCAAGUUAAUUGCGAAUUGCAAUGGUAAAUCCCCUGAUCCGGAUGGUUUCACCUCGAAAUUCUUCAAAAAAUUCUAGGAAGACUUGAAAGGCUUAGUAAUGGAGGAGUGUGUAAGCCAGUUCUUCAAAGGCAAGCCCUUGUUGAAAUCCUCUAAUCAUACUUUUAUCACGCUUGUUUCUAAACCAAACACAUCAUCAAAUAUGUCUGAUUUUAGACUCAUUUCUUGUGUUAACUUGAUUUACAAGCUAAUGACAAAAAUCUUAGCAGAUAAGAUUAGUAAGGUCUCUAGUGAGCUCAUUUCCCCGAGCCAAACAACUUUCAUCUAGGGUAGGCUCAUCUCAGACAAUACCAUUCUAGAUGAUGAAAUGGUUUAUGGCUUCAUGAAAUUGCUAAAGGCAAUUAAAGCACUGCUUGAGAAAUUCUCGCUUUUUCGAGAUUGGAAGUAAAUGCAAAUAAGAGUUUCUUCACCCUUCUCAAAUCCCUUCACCAAUCCCUACCUAAUAUCUUAGGAUACUCUGUUAAAAGUCUACCCAUAUCAUACCUUGGGCUCUCAAUCACAGGGAAGAUGAAAUCGUAUAGGCAAUGCUGGAAAAUGAAAACUCAUCCAACCAAUAGAGGCACUCUUAGAAAGAUGAAGUGGAAAAUGCCUUUCCUGUGAGGGUAGAAUACAAUUACUUAAUUCGAUAACAGUUGGAAAGUAUACCUAUUGGGCACAAUUGCACAAGACAUGACAAUCUCUGACUCUGUUGCUAAGAAGGUAAGAAGGUUGGUCUAUAAAUUUAUAUGGGAUGGAAGAAAAGGGAUCCCUAGAGGUUAGAGAUCUCCCUAUUAUGACCACUGCAACCAAAAUUAAAAGGGUCUCAAAGUACUGGGAUAAGAGUGAUUCUAUUUUAGUACAAUGGAUCCAGGAUAGAUAUAUUGGGGGGAAACACUUAGAGAUAUUCGAAUUAGGCCUAUUUCUGGAAAGCUUUCAUAUCAGAGAGGAAUUUAGUAGAUAAAUAUUUGGAUUGUAGAGCUAAUAGAACUGUAGUUUGGAGAUCCGAUACUCCUAUAAAUAAGUUGGGACGAAUUGUGGAAAAUAUUAUAGAUAGAAGUCAUAAAAACCUAUUAGCGAAGGGAAUUUGAUCGAAUAUGCCAAAAAAAUCUCUAUUUUUCUAUGGAAAGUGGAAUGAGAUCAUACAAACACUUUCAGAAAACUGAGGAAUUGGAGAGUGCAAGUACCUCCUGCUUGCCUAUUGUGCAAUCUGAAGAAAGAAUCUAGAAGUCACCUCUUUUUCAAUUGCUCAUACUCUAGGUCUCUCUUAAUCCCAUUGGCUGAGCACUUAAAUCUCUCCUUUUCGAGGUUAAUGAAUAUUCCAAUUCCUACCCAAUCAAGUGUGGAUAUAAGAUUGGGGGAUCUUACGAAAGUUGCACAAAAAUUCACACAUCACUCCCCCAUUGGGGGCUACUCUGGAAUGCCAUUGGGUUCUUUUCGUGUCACAUCUGGAUAGAGAAAAAUAAAAGAUAUAGAUAGCACACCAGUAGGCCUCCUGAGGUAGUUUUUAAGGAGAUAAUGAAGGAAAUCAGUCUCUCUUUUGGACCGGAGUAUCACAAAAAGAGUUAUUGUCACUCUUUGGAGACAUCGACAAUGGAAGUAUGGGAGACUAAUUGAUGUAGCAUCGGGCUAUCCUAACCGAGCCUCUACGGGAGUGCAAGACUCGGUGAUGCUUAACUAGAAAUGAGGACUCAUCUCAAGGGUGCCACUGCCUUGAUAUGAGUAUAAAAGAAGAAUAAGAGUGGUUAAUAAGGCAUUUUGUUUUUGCUAAUCCAAUUCAGGUAUUCUUCCCCCUCAAAUUUUCCUUUCUUUCUGUUACUCUACUGAUCGUCUGGUGGAUUCCUCUCGGUUAUGUUAUUUCCUUUCUUACAAUCGUCCCAUCGCUGGCUGCGGAUCGUCUUUCCACGAUCAUCAUCUUCUCUUCCAAUCGUUGCUAUUACCUCCAGUACAACUCUCUUUUUGUUUGCUUCAACACCAAUUUCCUGAAGCAGCGUAUCUAUUUGCUAUAUAACUAGAGUACAUAGCUAAUGGGAGAGAGUCAAUAAAAUUUUUGCUCUUUUUUUUUACUUUAAUUUUGUAUUUCUAAUUUCUCUAUCAUUUUUGUAAUUUGGGUAUUGUCCUUCAUUUUCAUGAAAAAAAUUAAUUUCCAAUGGAUACCGGAAGCAAUCGUAGGCGGAACAGAGCCUUGGGAAUAUCUGUACAUAAAAAUAGAUAAUUAUCCUUGCACAUACCUUUUUUUAAGAAAUAUAUUGCAAUAUCAUGCAUCAAAAUUCAAAAGCAUCAACACAUACCUUGUGAAGUCCUCAACGAGAUUUAUUGUGAUAUUUGGCUUCCAGUAUGAAAUCCAUCUUUCAUGACUCUUGUCAUUUGCAUCAUCAUGAGUGUCAUAUUUUGACUGUAAGAAACAUGCAAGUGAAUUAUUAACAACAAAGACCACCACACUAAAGUACAAGUGAAUUAUUAACAACAAACCUCAGGAAUUGACUUAUCCUCUUUAGAACCCUCAUUUCCUAGUAAAUUCAUAUUUUUGUCGACUUUUGAUUUUGGUAGGUAAGCCACAAUAGCUGAAAACAAGGAUAGAAUUAGUAUACAAUCCAUACAUACAUGACAUAUCCUUGGAUGAUUGAAGUGAGAGCAACAAAAGAACCAGGAUAGCUUACGAUGUGUUUUGCUAAAAACAAAAGUGCGUUGGUACUGAGGAUCAUCAGGAUCACAAGGGUAGCCAGAGAGAGCAAAGAAAACAUGCACAUAGAGACUCCCAUUGUGUUUCAGAUCCUGAUAAAAAAAAACAUACCAUUCAUUAACAUAAGUUUAAAAUCCUUAAGACACUGCAAGUCAUGUUGUUGCAAUGAAUUGAAUGGACACUAGGAGAGUACCUCUGAUGGGUAGUAUUUGAGAAUCUGAGAUCUUCUACUUUCAGGUUCCCAAGAGGCAUAUGGGACAUCAAUUUCAUGCCAGAGCAGAGCACUCUCAUUACCGAAGUCUUCGAACUUGUCUUUCUCGGAUAAAUAAAGCCACAUGUCCUAGAAAUCAAACAAGAAUAGAACCGUAUGGAAUCAAAAGAUAAAAAUAAAUCCAAUGAGAACCACAUUCGCAGAUUAUCGUCAAAAUUGUCAAGGCAGAUAUAACUAACUAACUAACUAACUAACCAAUCGGUCGCCUUUUUCGAAAAUGUUGGACAUGAAUUUCGAAGGUUCAGCUGGUUGCUGCUUAGGAGCGAAGAAUUUCAUGAAGAUAACGUAUAUCAUCACCGUUUUUGAAAACUUCUUGAGUGACUGGCUUAGUCUUCCUUCCUCCGGAGGCUGUUGCGCUCCACCCGACGGCGCAAUCUCUGCCACCGGAGUCGCCAUCGGAAUUCUCUCUACUGAGAAAAGAACUCGAGCUUAUUUUAACGGCGGAGACUUUGUUUUGAAAUAGAUCCGAUUGCUCGGAUCGUGGUCAGUUAGUCUGUUCGUUUUUGGAAGACAAAUAAAAUAUUAUAUAUAUUUUUUAUUUAGUAGUGGAGUCGACGUUUCGAAGUCUGGAACGGUAGUGGUUUAUGAGUUUAUCCCGUAUAGAAUUUUAAAUGACACAACUGGGUCAGAUUGAUCCGUUUUCCAAUUUAUACGGGUCGGAUUUCUGAAAAUUGAAAAAUGAAUUUCCUGAUUUCUUUCGAGAUGCAAACGAGUUGAGUUUUAAAGAUAUUGUUCGAACUCGACUCAUAAAACAAAGCUGGACUCAACUUCGAAUUUAAAUAAAUAAAUUAAAAUUAUUUAGAGAUUAUUUUGUAAUUGAGACAUUGCCACAUUGGGUUAUUUAUAUUAUUGUAUUUUAAAUUUUAAUGACUUAAAUUUUAAAAGAAAAAAAAAAUAUAUUAGAUUAUUUAUAAAUUAUAACCUUUAUAUAUAAAAAAUUAUAAAUAUAUUUUUAAAAUUUUCUUAUUGAGCUUAUUGAACAACAUAACUCGAAACUCGACUCAAUAAGUAAAUGGAACACCAUUAUUAACGGGUUGAGUCUUAUCAAGUGAAGCUCCCUUAGCGUCUUAAAAAAUUGUGCACAUUAUCUUUUUUUUUUUACACAUCUUCUGGUCUGGACCAAAAUGGUAAAAUGUAUGUCAUGUGUAGCUUAGACGAAAUGGUUUCAUUCUUUAGUCUUCACCCAUUAAGAUGUUGUUGCAAUGUGAAACAUAAUUAUCAAUAAGGUGUGAGGAGACAACACACCUUUGCUGGGUGAUGUUGAUAUUUGAAAGGGUAUUCUUAUAAUUUUUCCAUCAGAUUUUCUUCUUCUGUGGUUGGAUCACGAAAAAUCACCCAUCAAUUUAUUUUUAUUUUAUUUUAUUUAAAUUUUAAAACAAAAGCUAACCGAUGUUUGUCCGUAAAAGUCACGACCGCGGACCACUCGAUUAUCACUAAUUUUAAAUCCUAUAAAAUAAAACACACAGAGAGAUUUAGCAAAUAGCAAUUUUGACUUAUCUCGAUUUCUUUGGAAGGCAGUGGCAGUUUCCUGCACGUGGUUGUAAUAUUUUGAAGAAUCAGUGGUCAUUUGGUGGCCACGGUUAUACUAUAAUACUACUAUAUUAUAUUAUUAAAUCGUGGUUUCAUUAUCAUUAUCUUAUCUUGAAUGGCGUGCUGCUGGGAAUCAAGGGUACGUGGUAGAUUGAUGUCUGGUAAAUCAACGGUCCAGAUUUCUUUGCAGAAACGUUCUGUGCUAUCUCGGAACACGUUUACGACUUCGAUAAUCGGGUUUGAAACACGUUGUGGUCGGUUGACUAUUUUUUUUUUUUUACAUUUCAUUCUCUUAUUUUUUUAACACUUAAAUCUCAAAAUAAGAUAAUGAUCAUAUAAUUAACAAGUCAUUAAAUAAAAAUAUAUGAUCAUAAAUGAACCGGAUUGCAUUUUGUAAUUAGUUUUUAUUUAAUAACUUGUCGAAUGAAGGAUUGAAGAUUUGAAGGUACGAUAAUUAAUAAUUAUAAUGAAAUAAAUAUUUACCUUAUCGGUAUUUUUUUUAUUAUUAAAAAUGAUCAAGUCGUGAAUAGUGGAGGGGUAGAUGAAAAAUAAAGAGUAUAAAGAGAGGGGUGUAAACGCAAAAAAAAAGUCUUGGAGUCUUGGUGGAAAGUGAGAGAGAGGCAUCAGCAACAGUGGAUGCUGCAGGUGCAGAGGGAGGCAGCAAGGACAGCAGAUUUAAAAGUAAUCGUGUACUCGUGUUGGGGAAAGCCAAAAAUUCAAAAAAAUAAAUAAAAAAUAAAUAUAUAUAUAUAUUUUAAUUUGGAAAAUAUUAAUAAUAAUAAUGAAUUAAUCAGUUAAUGAUCAUGAUUCAUGGUUUAUGAAUUAAGUCAAUACUUUAACACUUUAAGUUAUUAACUGAACGAUAAAAAUAAAUAAAUAAAUCAGGGCAAUAUAUUGAAUAUCUAUUUCGCUAUUGGUGUGUGUGUGUGUUCGUGUCUGUGUCGAGAGAGAGUUCCCCCAAUCCUCGACCGAUCCGAAUAGGUGUCGAAAAGGGUGAAUUCAGGAGUCGAUCCGGCCGAUUUUCUGCGGAUGCAACGGAGCUGCGGUGAAUUUUGUGGUCUGUGGUUUUGAUUCGGUGGAAAUAUCAACAGCGACGAAGGAUUUUGGAUCUAGGGUGGAUUUUCCGGCGUAGGUGAAAAAUCGAAGGAUUUAGCAGUGGAGAAAUUAGCUAUUGGAGGUCGUUUGCUUUUUUCCGGACUCCAGAGGUAGAUCUGAAGAAAUCCCAGAAAUCCCUCAACCCCUCACUUUCUUCAUCUCUCUCUCUCUCUCUCUCUCUCUCUCUCUCUCAUGUUUAGUGUCUUAAUAAAGGCGGUGGUAUCUUUACGGGUCUGGUCUCAGUUCUUUGGCCUUAAAAGCUGAGCCCUUUGGGGUUUCUCCACUGCGAGCAGUUACAGAGCUAGAGCAUCAGCAGUAGAGGUGUUAGUCCUACAGCUGCCGCUUGGUGUAUGCUAAUUUUAGCGUGCACCUUUUCCGAGGCAAAUAAUAUUGAUUUACAAUAGUUUUGCUGGGUCUCCGGCGAAAAGGUAGGUCACCGGGUGACAUCUAUUGUAAAUAGUAAUUAUUGCUCCUAGCUCUGGACGUAUGGUGACUGGAUCGUGACCAACAAGUUGUUGAAAAUCUGAAAGGAAAGCGAGAUUUAUUGAAGGAACUUGAAGCUUGGGUCUAGUAUUAGUUUCGUCUCACCUUUUCCUCUCCGUAAUUUUUUUGGUGUUUCCCCUUUUUUAGACGGAACAAAUUCGAGGUAUUGGAUAGUUAGACAACGCGUCUUCUCCAUCUUUCAAGUUGAGUACGUUCUUAUUGGCUUACUUGUGUUGCCUGAAGGAAUCUUCUUUUUCGAGUGAUUGUUGCAGUACACAAUUGUAGUUAGUUUCUGGGUGGGAAUGAGUUCGAUGGCACCGGAAGGUCCGACUUCAGGUCAGUGUUCGUCCUGUUUUAUAUUUGUUGAAAUAUACGUUUUGUUUGAAUCUUUGAAAACUAUACCAACUGAUUUCCUCAGCACAUAUAACUAUAUAAGUAUGUAACACCUCCCCAUUUUUUAAUCUAUUUUUGGCCAUAUCUUUGUUUCCACGUACCGUCUCUUCCGUUUGCCAAUUCAUGUUGGUUUUUCAACUAAUUUGCCCAAUUUCCAUGUACGCUUUCGUGUGCGUGUGUUUAAUCAUGAUAUCUAACAUUGUUUUGUUAUAUCGCAAAAUCAGAUAACUUUGUGUAGUUUGUUUCUUUCAUUACUAAUUCAGUAUGAUAAAAUUAUUCUCUUAAUUUUUUCCCAGGCCAAUCUAAUGAGAUGCUGUUGAGGGAGCUCUGGCAUGCUUGUGCUGGGCCUUUAGUAACCGUUCCUCGAGAGGGUGAACGGGUCUAUUAUUUCCCUCAAGGUCAUAUGGAACAGGUAAAUUUGAUUGAUAACAUGACUUGGUAAAAGAAAUAAGAAACUUACACACGGACUUAAAAAUUGACCAUUUUAAAUAUUCCUUCCAGAAAAGAUUAUUUCCUUUUUCAUCUGUGCUGUUGAAACAUCAUUAUUCAUUAAUAUAAAAUUACCAUUUUGGUUCUUGUGUUUGUUCUUAUAGCUUGAAGCAUCAACACAACAGGGCUUAGAGGUAGAUCAACAAGUUCCUUUGUUUAAUCUUCCAUCUAAAAUUCUUUGCAGCGUAGUACAUGUUCAGCUUCAGGUAAUUCCAAUUAAGUGAUCUUGUAUCUUGUUUGAUAGUCAAUUGCUUCAUAAUCUGGUUCUGAAGAGUGUAUAUUAUUCACUAUAUUUUACGUUGUCUGCUUGCUCCACAGGCUGAAACAGAAACAGAUGAAGUUUAUGCACAGAUUACAUUGCAGCCUGAACUUGAUGUGAGAAUGAGUCUUAACUACUUUUAUCUAUUCAAAUUCAACUAGAUUAUUGUUUUCUUAGAAUGAGAUAUUUCAGAAUAAUAACCUUCACACAAAUAAUUAAGAUACGUAAAUAAAUUCAUUUAUUUUGAUCUUGGGUCAGCAAGGAGAAAUUACAAGUCCAGAUCCUCCAUUACCAGAACCUGAGAGAUGCAUGGUACAUUCAUUCUGUAAGACACUUACUGCUUCUGACACAAGCACACAUGGAGGAUUUUCAGUUCUUAGAAGGCAUGCAGAUGAAUGUCUUCCACCUCUGGUUAGUAAUUUUAUAUCCCUAUGUUUUUUUCCAGUGAACUUCUUAUAAAAAAUCAUGUACUUGAUGGAUCGAUCUUUGUUUAAUCCAGGAUAUGUCACAGCAGCCACCUUCUCAGGAAUUGGUGGCUUCGGAUCUGCAUGGCAAUGAAUGGCAUUUUCGUCAUAUUUUCCGAGGUUUUAAUUAGUUUGUUUGUUUGUUAUCUCAAUUGAUUUCAUAAUUAUAAAUUUCUAAUAUUUGAAGCAUGGUUUGCGUAGUGUGCGAGCUAUAUCAGUAUAGUAUGCUACUACUACUAGCACCAUAGCACCAGUUGAUGGCGCUAUUUAGCGUUCUAUUUCAACCUGGUUGCUAGGCGGAUCCGAGUAAGUUUCCGCCAAGUUACUUGGUAAUAGCUUAUGGUUAGGAUUGAGCUAUAAUUUGAAAUCGUGAUUUCACCUUAGAGCACCCACUCUUCCCUACUUCCAUUUACCAGCAACCUCCAGAAACCAUCCAACGACCUCAUCCUUAUUAUAUCUCUUUUUUCUUUAUGACAUUUUGACUUAUUUAGUUUGUAUUUUAGCUAAUUACGUAAGUAUAUUUAUCACUAUGUUAGUCUGUUGUGUACUUAAGUAUUUUAAUGCAUUUAUUCUAAAUAGGCAAUAUUUACACAAUACAUUUAUGUUUUUUAAAAUGUAUAAAAAAUAUAUUGGGCGAUAUAGCCCCGCAUUGCCGACACUACAUGCUAUGGUACAAAUGAAACCUUGAACGGAAGCAAUGGUUUCAGGAUAUGAUAGCCAUUUCAAUAUGUUCUCAUUGGAUUAAAAUCAUUUCAUUUCAUUUCUUUUCUUUUUAUAUUUAAUGCACCACAUACGAAAAGCCCUGUUUAUUAAUAUACUGACUAUCUUUAGGAGAAAAGUUGAUUUUGAUUAAAAUAGUAGUCCAAUAACUCAAUUGUCUGUGAAUCUUUGAUGUAAUCAUGGGGGACAUUCUUUUGUGUCUAAUCACAGUUUUUUUACGCAGGACAACCCAGGAGACAUCUGUUAACCACUGGCUGGAGUGUUUUCGUAAGUGCUAAAAGAUUAGUUGCUGGUGAUGCAUUCAUCUUCCUGAGGUGAGUAUUAUUUUUCAAGUUGAAUGACCCAUACAUUAAUCUUCGUUCUAAUCUUUUGUAUUAAUCUAAUUUCCUUAGAGGAGAUAAUGGAGAAUUGCGUGUUGGUGUAAGACGCCUUAUGAGACAACUGAACAACAUGCCAUCAUCUGUCAUAUCAAGUCAUAGCAUGCAUCUAGGGGUUCUUGCAACUGCAUCUCACGCAGUUUCAACUGGGACACUUUUUUCUGUCUUCUACAAACCAAGGUUUUUUUUGUAAUCAGAUUUUCCCAUUUAAUAAUGUAACGUUGGUUCUUUUCUGAGGAAUUGCAUUCUGAGAAAUAUUCCAUUAAUUGAAUAUUUCAAAUUUCUAAGCUACCUAUUUCCAUUGUUUUUGUUCAUAUUUUUUUGUAAUAUUAUCUGCCAAAAAAUAUAUUUAUAUAAUAAUUUGUCCGUGUGUGUUUGAAAUAGUAAAUUAAUCUCUGAAUAAUUACUAAAUUGCAGAACAAGUAGGUCUGAGUUUAUCGUAAGCCUUAACAAAUAUCUUGAAGCUCGAAGCCAAAAACUUUCAAUUGGGAUGCGGUUUAAAAUGAGGUUUGAGGGAGAAGAAGAUCCUGAAAGAAGGUACAAUGGCUUCAUUUUUUAGUCAAUUUGCAUAAUUUCUCUGGAAGUGUGAUAUUUAUCUAUUUACAUGUUUUUGAUUAUGUAGGUUUAGUGGGACCAUAACAGGUCUAGGAGAUAAUGCAUCAUCACACUGGGAAGGUUCAGAAUGGAGAUCUUUAAAGGUCAGUGGCAUGUUUCCUCAAAGUUUGACAUUUGGAAUUAUGAAAUUUUGCUAAUUACAUUUUGAUAACUCCAUUUUAUUAAAUAUAUAUACAUUUUUAACAUUUCCAAUAUGGUCACAAAAAUUGUAUGAAGGUCCAAUGGGAUGAGCCUUCGUCGAUUUCGCGCCCUCAAAGAGUUUCACAGUGGGAAUUGGAACCAUUGGUCACAUCCAAUACUCCCACUGCCCAACUGGUAUCAAGAACCAAGCGGGCACGAUCUCCAACAUUGAAUUCUAUUGCAUCAGACCUUUCUUCUGCAUUUGGUAUGUGUUUCUUUAUAUUAACGUGUCUUUGAUUUGUUUAGACAUUUGAUCUUGAAUAAAAAUUUAAAGAAAUUGAAUAAACUAUAUUAAAUUAGGCCGACGUUUUUAAUUCCUUUUUUACUUCCACAAAUUACUUACUGGAUUUGUACUGAGUUCUCAUUCUACUGUUCUAGGAUGGUCCUCUAAUUUCCCCCCCGUAUUUUUUAGGUAUGUGGAAACCUUCCACUGAUGCUGGGAAUCCUGUUUCAUAUUCUCCCAUGUACCGUCACCAAGAACCUUAUUCAUCGCAUAGUUUUACUCCGCGCUUCUCUCCACUUUCAAAAGCAAACUCUAUUGCAUUCAGUGUGAACAGUAACCAACCUCCGAAAUCCACUAAUCAAAUGCAUUGGCCCAUUCUUAAGGAGCCACAUGCUGACUUAUUUUCAGGUAGUUUUAACAAUGAGACAUCUGAAAAGAAACAGGACACUGGUAAUGGAUACAGGUUGUUUGGUGUUCAACUUAUUGAAAAUACCACCACUGAAGAAACAUCGCCCUUAGUGGCUAUGUCUGGUUUUGUUGAAGAUGAUCAUCCUGUUUUUUCUCUGAAUGCGGAAUCAGAUAGGUUGUCACAACCAUCAACAAUAAAUCGGUCUGAUGGUCUGGAGAUUGAAGCUAAGCAAACUCGAAGUUGCACCAAGGUAUGUUAACCAGGAUGUAUUGUGUGCGCUGUAGAUAUUAUUUGUGUGCGUGUUUGAUGUGUAGGUCAAGUAAUUUGUCCAUUUAUUUAUCUUUAUCAUAAAAAUGUCUAUAUUUCCUACCCAGGUUCAUAUGCAUGGUAUGGCUGUUGGAAGAGCUGUGGAUUUGACAAGGAUGGAGGGAUAUGACGAACUCCUUGGAAAACUAGAGGAGAUGUUUAACAUCGAAAGUGAGCUUACUGGAUCUGUCAAAAAAUAUACAAUUGUCUAUACUGAUGAUGAGGGUGACAUGAUGUUGGUAGGGGAUGAUCCAUGGAGGUAUUGCACUAAUGCCAUUUAAUCCAUAUUCUAUUCCAUCAACUAAUUUGCAUAUCUUAGUGUACGGUUGUUAACAUGUUUAUUUUGCUAGUGAGUUCUGUUCAAUGGUGAAGAAAAUCUGUAUCUAUACAAAUGAAGAAGCCAAGAGGCUCUCUCCAAGAAAGAAAUUACCUGAUAUCACUACAGCCAUGAAACUUGGCUGCAGCAGCAGCAAGUCAGCUCCUUCCGACGCUGCAUGAGGAGACCUGUGGGUUUCAAAUUAGAGCUAAUUCCUAAUAUGAAAACUUUAUAGAAUUUUAUCCAGUCCUUUUGACAUAUUAUAAGGACUAUAAAUCCUUAAUAUCAAGUCAUUUGAAAGGAGUUUGCAAUGUAUAAGCAACCAUAUAUGGCUGAUUUAGGCAAUGACAACCUUAUUUAUGCAUGUUAUGGAUUGGGUUUAUUAUGUUCUGUUAAUCGUGGUAUUGAAAUUUAUAGAAUUUCAUACUCUUGUAUUGUGAUAUAAAAGAAUGUUUAGAUGUGAAUAUCAAUAAAUGAAUUAUAGUGAUUCUUAAAUGAAAACUAUUUUAGCAAUUUCCCUCAUAAAUAGUGAUUUGCUUGUCCAUCUGCUUUUAAAUAUAUUGGGUUAGGAUUAAGUGUAAUCAUGUAUUCUAUAAUUGUUGAUCUUUAUUUUAUUAUUUAUCUGCAUUUGAUUUAUUUAUUUGUCUUUAUUGGGAAAAAUUAACCCCAACUCUUUACUUUUUGUGUGGAAUAAUUAAUUCCCCACUUGCAAUUUUUUGUGUUUUUUGACUCUCCCAGUCACCUCUUAUUAUUCCCCACAGGCUACAACUCUAUUUUUCUUGUCUGGUUUGCAACAUUCUUUAGUUAGUUUCUCCUUAUUUAAAGUUUUGCUAUACACAAAUCACCAACUCUUUGGAAUAUUUUAGGUCCAUUGUGAUUUUUAUUGUUUAUUUGGAUAUUAGGAACCUUCAUUUCAAUAUUGGAUUUUGCGGAAGCAGAGCAUGCUCGUUCGGUCGAGUACCGAAAUGAAAUAUCGUGUGAAAUGAAGUCGAAGCAGUCCGCACCAUGUUACAGGAAUUGGGAAUAACGGUCCGCCUUAGAUCGACACUUUGUUUGUGAAAAGGUGAAGAAUGGUGACAUCGUAAUUAAACAUAUUCUCGGGACAGAUCAGUGGUCGGACAUUCUGACUAAGCACUCUUUCCAAAAUUAUUUGCAAGUUUACAAGUCUACACACACGGAUAGAUUAGUCCAGUCAGUAAACAGUUAGUAGUUGGUUAGGUUAACAUUUAUUAGUUAGUUAUUAUUAAAUCUAAUAGUAUAAAUAGAUAACAACCUGUAAUUGUGCACUCAGUUAGGUUUUGAUUAAACAUAAUCAUUUUGUAAAUCAUAUAUUGAUAGUAGAUCAAACUUCCAUCUCAUUUUAAAUUAUUUUAUUGUUCCUAUACCAUUUUGUGUUUUGAAAUGUAUUUUUUAAUGGUUAUCAGUAUAUUGGUUGAGAGGUCAAUAGAUGUUGCAUUUCUGGAUAGCCGAAUAGUUUAAAGAUGAUCUGUCGGAAUAUUUUUUUUAAGAGAAAUAGGUUACAUGAUUUUAUAAACUACUAUAGUAAUUUAUUAAACAAAGGUUUCGUGGUGUAGUUGGUUAUCACGUCAGUCUAACACACUGAAGGUCUCCGGUUCGAACCCGGGCGAAGCCAAUGUAUAUUAAAUUUUGUAUGAAAAUAAUUUUGCAUACAUUUUGAAUUCAGAUUUUUAAAACCUAAACAAUGUAUUUUGUUAAUCCUGAUUUACAUUGUGCAGCUCACUAGAUUGUAGAAGCAGUGUUAAUAAUGAUCACACACAGUCAUGUUCAUUGCAUUCUGUCUGAUUGUAGAAGAAGAUGUAAAUUGAAAAGAUAUGUUUACACAAUAUAAUAAGAAGAUGAUUGUAACUAACUAUUGAGGGCAAGGGAGGGCAAUUGCCCCCCCUAAAAUUUGGAAAUUUUUGGAGGACCGAUAUGUAAUUAAAUUUUUUAUAGGGGGUUUUGUAUAAUUUUCACAAUAUAUUAAUAUUUUUAAGGGUUAAUAUAUAAAUUUCACAAUAUUUAUAUAUUAUAUAAAUUUCUUUCCCCCAAUCUUCUUCCCCAAUACUGUCGAUUUCUCCUCCUCCUCCAAUUUCUUCCCCAAUCUCUCCUCCUCCCAUAUCCCCAAACUGCUGUAUUGUUGAUUUGUUGUUGGUUUAGCUCUGCAGCUGCUUCUCUCUAAAACUCGUUUCUUACCAAGGUUACUGCUUACCUUUUGAAGCCUUACUCACAUCACCAUUUAGGAUGUUCACAAUUUCCAAAGAUUUCUGGUUUGAAAUCGAAACAUUUACCAACUUAUGUUCUAUUUCAUUGGAAGUAUCUGUAUCUCUACAGCAAUCAACACUAGUAUCGUUGAAUUGAGGUACCACGAUCUCUUUCACGAAUGUCUGUUUAAUUUUGCUGCUUUUACAAACGUUCUUUUUCGCUCCACGAGCAUUUCUUUUUGACAGUUUAUCAUUGGUAGGUUUUGAAAUUGUAACAUCAUUAUGUUCCAUGAGAAAAGAAAGUCCUUGGAAUUCUGAAAAGAUAAAAAUACUUCUGCAGGCUGUUUGGUUACUUUUAAGCAAGCGGUAGAGACUGCUUCUUUUAAGUGCAUUCCUUUGGUAUCAUUUGACUGACAUGUAACUUUGCUGGGAAAUAACUUUUGCCUUGCUUCUUUGUCAAACAGUGGUAAAAUACCAAUAGUUUCAUUCUUAUGAUCUAUCUUUCUCCUUUUAUCAGAUUUAGUUCUAUUAGAGGUAAUAUCAGUGGUUGUAUUUUCUGAAAUUUGUAUAAGUUUUUUAAUUAGUACAAAAAAAAUUUUUCGUCUUCGGCGAAUUUUGCCCCUGCCGGGGAAUCCUGGAUACGCCUCUGAUUGAGGGUGGGUGUUGGAUUUUGUUCUUGUUGUGUAUUUAAUUUCUAUGUUGACGUAAUUGAUAAUAUAAUAUGUGACAUUUGUGACUUAUAUUUAGAAAAUCUUUUUACUUAUAAAAAGUUAAAUUCCGUUAUUAAAAAAAAUGCUAGAGAUGUUCUUGGAAUUAUUGACAUAUUAAUUAAUUUUAUAGCCGAUCGAUAUUUAACUUUUUGAAUUUGGUUAUUGCUAUCUUAUUUUCACCCCAGUGUACUGGGAAUUAGCAGCCUAUUUCUUGAUGUUUGUAAAUUAAACAGUGUGUGUUUGAUCCUAUAGUUGAAACCUGAAGAAACGUCGACAAGUAAACAUCCAGCGGAAGGAGAUUGAAACAACGAUGAGGUCGAGCCGCUUCCUGCUUACCAGGUUUUCAAGCAAAAACUAGCCAGUUUUCGAAUUUCAAUAAGUGAGAUAGAAAGGGGGUUCUGGGUUUAUUUAGGGUUUAUUUAUUUACUUGUUCGUUCGUUCAUUUGUUUAUUGGAAAGAAGCAGGAAUACCUGCUUGAUUUCAUCUUCAAUAACAACCUCAACCUCAAAAUCGAAACCUGGUGGUCUGUUCAUAAAGGAUGCACCAUUCCAUCGGAAGUUCUUAUCUGGAAAUGGUCACCCAUCUUUUGGUCAUGGUAUUACGCACUACAUACCCACAUACACGUACAUUUGGAAUGUAGUUUUUUUGUUUGGUCUAAAUCUGUUGAUAUCAGGGACUGGGUAUGAACAAUCAUCUGCAGGAACUCAUGCUGGUGCCAGUUUGUCCGCUUUUACAAUCUUCAAGGGCAAAGCUGCGCUCAUCAUCGAACCAUUUCUUCCCAAAUAUGUCAAGAAUCUUGUAUGAAUCUAUCAUCUAUCUGGACCUGGUUAUAUAUUUUGCCAUAGUAACAUGUUGGUUGGUGUUUGCUCUUUGCAGAAUGGAACAUCCGUAAUCAAUAGGAAAGGUACCAUGUUUCUCAAGUUCAUGCCAGCUAUUGGUGCGCGCAAGUAUGAUUAUCAAAAGAAGGAGGUUAUUUCUCUAUUUGCUCAGAUCUAGGGUUUUAUUUUAUUCACUCUUCCACAUACAUACAAAACACACAGCUUGAGUGCUUGCUAAGAACAAAUUCUUUUCUCUGAUGUUUACAAUUCUUGCCAAUAUCGAUGGCAUCACAGGUAGUUGCUUUAAAUGCCACUGAGCUUGGAUGCCUAAUUAGCCUGGAUCCUAAUGAAUCUUGUGAAUUUGUGCAUGAUCCUUCUAUGAAAUCAGGGUAUGUUUACAUGUAUAAUGGGAAAGAUGCAGGUGUUGAUGAAACUGUUUGAUGAAUUCUGUUUAUUUAAUUUCAGCCUUGAAGGUCAGAUUAAAAAGACACUAAAUAUAAUUCCAAUACCUUCACAGAAUGGUGGAUAUUUCUUUAACUUGAGUAAGCAUACCAUGUUUAUGUGUUGAUUGUUAACAUUUACAUGAUUGCAUUCUUGUGUCUUCCCUUCAGCUUAUGUUUACCUUCUUUCAUCACAAUGCAGCUGUAAAUAAUUCUAUCUUAAAAACAUCAGAGAGAUUCAGUCUCCCUGUGACAAAAGCUGAGUUCACUGUCAUGCGCACUGCUUUUAGUGUUAGUGAUCCAGAUCUAUUUCAUUGAAUCAUCCCCCUCCCUCUUUUUGCUUUUGUUAUAAUGUUUUGUCCAACAAUUGAUUGAUGUGCAAUAUACUAUAUAUCUUGAAUGUAGUUUACCUUGCCACAUAUCAUGGGUUGGAGCCAAGCUUUUGCAAUGAAUCAAGCAACAAAUUUGCAAUUUCAGGGUGACCACCAUCCAAGUCUGAAUCAUCAUCAGCCAACAAGUACGAAUUUCAAUUCUAGUAGGCAAGAAGAAGACUGCGUAAGUCCAUUUCAGCUGAAAGAAAGUAUGAAGUUCAAUUCUUCUAAGCAAGAUGCCCGUCUCGUUCCAAUGGCGGAGUGGGAGAAGUAAAAUCAGUAUAUUGGCGCCAAUCAUUAGUAUCUAAAAGGGUUCUGGAUUAUGUCUACUAUCUACCAACUACAACAAGAACAACAAUUCUGUUUGGUUGUAUCUAUUUAUUGCUUGUUGCCCUUUAUAGAUAUCUCAAACAUGAUGAAUCAUGAAUGUGGGGCUUGUUUACAUCUCUUUGGAAUUUUCCUAAUGAUGUAUUUUGAAGAUUUAUCACCAAUAAUCAUGUGUAUUUGUCUCUACUUUCUUGUUUGUAUACUAAUUUGUUGGAAAAAGAUUUGCCAAGUUAUUUAAAUUUACUGCAAAGAAUCCUUACCUUAUGUUUGACAAAAUUCCCAAAACGACUACUUUUAUUGUGUUAUUAGGUUUAUUCCAGUGAAGUUGAUUAUAAAAUAAAUAAAAACUUCUACUUUUAUAGUUUACCUACCAUCACCAGAGAGCAGUGCAGCAAAUCCAGAUAUGUAUAUAUAUAUAUUUAUAAAAAUUGUAAUAUAAAUACCAGCAAUUUAGGUCUCCUUUGUACUAGUUUGAAUUGAUUUGCAGGCAGCCCCAUUAUUCUCCAUGGAAGAAGUAGAAGGUCUCAAGCAUGGAGUGGCCGUUCCCAAUUCACAAACAUUAGGAAAUAAUCCCUGGGCAUUUCCACAGCUCAUAAUGCAGGAAUUUCCAUUGAAAUUGGCAUUGUUUAGCAGAGUAAGGGGAUUGGAAUUCCCCGAUGAACCCUUGAUCUGCUGCUGUCUUUGAUACGGAAAAGAUCCGAUCUCACCAUCUAUCCUCCCCUUGAAAUCCAAAAGCAUGCACUUGAGCCUAGUAUUCUCAGCCUCUAGCGAUGCCAAAUACUGUACCUUCUUCGACAGCACCCGGUUCUCCUCUCUCAGAUCACGAUUUUCAUCCUCCAAACUGGCCGUUCUCGCCUUCUUCUUCUCUCUGUACUUCCUGACCGCCUCGCGAUUCCCAACACUUCGCUUCUUGACGUCGCGAACUCCAGCGGAGUCGGGCGUGGGUAGAAUGUUAGUGUGGACGUGGAAGCAGGUGUGCGUGUGGGUAUUGGCGAGAUCGGGACCGGGAGGGUUGCAGGUGUGGGUGUGGGUACAUGCCUGCGUGUCUCUGGAGACGUCAUUGAAGAAUCCACCCAUGGAACAACUGCUUAACAUCUCAUCAACGUCCUGGUUGAAAUCGCCGAGGUCCAAGUCGCCAUCUUCCAUGAACAUCCCUGAUACCUCCUCACCUGAGCGUCGUUGUCUAGCGCUAAAAAAACCCUAAUUCCAACCCCAAACCAAAGUCUCGGACUCUUGGAGCUUCAAAUCCUGAAUGGUUGUAUCCUGUGGCCUGUGCCCCCCCUGUCCCUGUGGCCUGUGGCUGUGGACCCCUCCUGUGGAGAAAAAUAGAAAAUGCAAUUUGUAAUAAUAUUCUAAAUUUGUAAAAAUAAUUUUUUGGCAGAUGAUUUAUUAAAUGUUAUUUGAAGUUUAAUAAAAAUAGCUGUAAUGUUGUAUACUUGACUACUUGUCUCCCACUCUUUCAUUAUCUUAUUAUAAUCACUGAGUGAGUGAGUGAUUGAAUGAGUUCCAUACUUUCAAUUUCAAUCCAAUAAUCGAUAUUUUCAAAUUUCAGCUUACAAGUGACGAUAGAUCGAAAUAUUGAAUUGAUAUUUCGAAAUUACAACAAAAGAAAAUAUCAAGAUUACGUGUAAAAAAGAAAAAGAAAAGGCUCUCUUCUCCGAUCACUCCUUGUCGGUAAAAUCUUAAACAACGGUGACUCUGGCCAGACGAGGUCUGCUCUGUCUGUCCGACGACCCAUUCAUGUCUUCUUCUAUAGAGCGUUUUCUCUUUGUACCGGCACUCUUUGGGUUUUCCAUAGAGGCAACAGCAGAGGCAGAAUAAGAAGCAUCGGGUCCUUCUUCAGGAGGGGGCCUGACGUAGGUCUUCAGUCUUAUUAUGUCUGCUGUUUUUAAUGGCUUUGAGAUGAACUCCUCGGCUCCACUUGCUUCGCAUCUGGUGAUUCUCCGAGGGUCAUUCUCCGAUGACAUGAUCACAAUGGGAAUCGAUUUAAGGCAAUCACUUCCCUGAGAAGUAGAGAAUGAAUGAAUAAAUAAAUGAUGAAAUUUAACAACAGACAGACAGACAGACAGAUAUCUUGCAUCAGAUUAAUUUUAUUACUUUCACGGCCUUCAGAAGAUCGUAGCCACUCAUCCCCGGCAUGCAGUAAUCUGUGAGAAUUAUGUCGAUUUUAUUAUGCCCAUCAUCACUGGUCCCAGACUUGCUGCUGUUUUCUUCUUUCGUCAGCAAACCAAGAACUUCCAUGGCUUUCUUUCCACUGUCGACGACAAUAACUGGAAACCGAAACCAAAUCAAACCAUAGUAGAAAAAGAAAAGGAGGAGGGGGUUGUAAAAAAGAAGAAGAUGUACCUUCAAAAUUACCAUCAGCAUUCUUGAGUAGUUUCUCUACUAUCUUCCUGUCUACAAUGGAGUCGUCUACCACCAAAACCCUCACCACUCUUCUUCUCUCUUCCUCCAUCGUUCAAACACAAGAUGGGAGGAAAAGGAGAAAGGGAGAAGAGAUGUAAGGAAAAUAGAGAAAGCAAGUGAGGAAUCCAAAUUGCCCAAAUCCUCAAGGAAUGGAAAAAAGGAGAAAGAUAUGAAAGAUUCUGUUUCCGACAACCAAAUCCAAGGCACGCACACCAUCACACAAGAUCUCUCUAAAAUCUUCGAUUUUAAAGUGGGCUCCACCUCCACUUUCUACUUCAAUGUGGCAUUAACUAAACAGAUCUUAACUUAAAAAGUUUAAAGUGUUAAUCUAAAUCUUUUUUCUUCUUCUUUCUUUCUUUUCCUGUCAUUCCAUUUUUUUCCCUUCUAAAUUUUAACUAACACAAGUCAACAACUCAAAGGGAAUAGGGAUUAGGUAAAUAAUUUCAUGAUAAUAAGUUUAAAAUGUUGUGAACUUGUGAUGAUCAGUGAUCACUGACUGGUGAAUGUGAAUGAAUGACGGCGGUUUUUGACCAUUAUUUAAUUAUGUAUGUGGCUCUUAUUGGUCAUUCCUCCUCCUGCAUUAAUGGUUUAAGAUCGUCCAAAUCUACUGUAAAUAUCAAAUAUCAAAGAGAAACAGGUACCAUGUCCUUUAUGAUUCCCUCUCUUCCUGUCAUUUUCGCUCUGUUUUCAACAGUUCAACUGUCUUUAUGUUAUUAACUUUUUUUUUAUUAAUGGUAAAAACUAAACAGAUAAUAAACAAUGUUUAAAGAAAUGCAGUAAGUAAAAAAAAUAGAUUAGAUCGGGAAUUAACUCUUCUUCUUAAAUUCCCACUGUUCUUAGUCAUCAUUCAUUUUCAUUUUCAAAUCUUAAAUAGUUAGUAAAAUCAGAAAUCAAAUCUGUGUGCAUGAAUCAUGAAUAUAUUUAUCAACAGUUCAUCAUCAAUAUCAUCAUCAAUAAUUCAUAACACAAGACUUGGAUAAAAAUAAAUACAUGUUUGUGCGUGAUGGACUAUGACAUAUCAAUGAGUCAUGUUACGUGACUUUGCGAGUUAGGGUUCAACAAAUAUCUCAAUUCUCAACAACUCUUUUACUUUUAAAAUCUUUCAUAAUUUAUCUUCUCACACAAACAAAAUAGUAUAUGCCAAGCUAAAGGAGAGAGGGUGGUGUGUAACUGUGUACCCUACCUAGAAUAUGAUAAUUUGAUAUUGCAACAUCACUCCCAGGCAAAUCUUUUGCUUCCCUGCGAAGAAAGCAAUCUCAUGGAAAGAUUUUGAACCCUUCAAGUCUUCAACACUAUUCAUGAGAUUUUUUUCUUUCUUCAACAAGAAAUCUAGCAAACAAGCAUCGAGUAAUGAGUAAUUGAGUAUCAGAAUAAUUCGUUCACUUUUUAUUUUUGAAUAUUAAAAAGUACUUUUUUAGUGUGUAAAAAAAAAGUUUAUCGCCACUUCACCAAAAUUUCUAUAAAUAUCUUCAACAAAGCCAACUAGCAUUUAUGAAAAUAAGUCAAAAAGGUCACCAGCAAAAAACUGAAAGGUAAAUUCAAGGGGGAGUCUGCUUUACUAACCAUCUUUUUAUCGGUGGAACACUGGUAAAAUUCCCCAAUGAUGAAGAAGACCAUGCCCUGUUGUCACUUCUACCACCAAUAAAGCAAGCACAGCUAACAUGGCUACCCUUCCAUUCCAUGUUUCGGCACUUUUGGUCCAACCCCAUACCCACAAGUUCACAGGCGAUGGUAGCUCGGCACGUGUGCUAUCAUAUGCUGCAAGUAGCUCCUCCACACUUCCCAGAGGAACAAGGGUCUGCAGGAAACCAGAAUUUUUAUUUAAAUUACAACAUCCAUUUCUUACUAAGUUUACUCCUAUCUUUGAAAUCGACUCCACUUUCAAAAAUUGUAGAAUAGUAAUAUACAACCAUCACCUGACUGGCCUCAAGAUUCGACACAGCCAUAGCACCAACAUAAGGGAGGCUUUCAAUUACAGCAUCAGCGAGAUCAGAUAUGAAAUUGGGUUCACAGCCUAAAGCUGGGACCCUUCCCCAUUCAGUUAUUCCAGAUUCCAUUGCAAGUUCUUUGUAUUCGACAUCGAUUUCUUCAAGUGUUUCGAUAUGUUCACUCACGAAACUGGAAAUAAUAAUAAAUGAAUGAAUUGACAAUGAGUAAUAGUAAAAUCAUAGAGAUGUCAUGGGAAUAAGUACUCGAUUGGUUGUACAUAUUUACAAGUGAAAUUACCUGAUUGGUACUGCCAGAAGACUUUUAAUUCCCUUCUGUCCUAGUUCAACAAUGGUUUCGUCAGUGUAUGGCUUCAGCCAUUCUACUGGACCGACUCGACUCUAAAAACAGAAUACAUUAUGUUAAUUAUUGGUAAUCGAAAGCAAUAACACAAUAAAUAAUGUAAUGUCACGUCGAACUAGAUAAUCCCAGUAUUUUAGUUUACAUCCCAAAUUAAAAUUCAUGGAAUAGCCAAUAAGUAUAUCCUGUCAAACUACGCACCACCUACCUGAUAAGCAAGAGUAUAAGCAUUAGAAAUCUUCCUAUUUUCCAAUUCUUGCAUGAUAAAAUCUACACACUCCUCCAUCUCUGCUUUGUAUGGAUCUCCAGCUUCUUCAACAUAAGAAAGUGGCACACCAUGUGCACUGAAAAAUAUCAUAACCUGAACACCAUUUAUAAGAUGAGCAUCUUACAAAAUAUAUGUAGAAAAAAAUUGUUUAUUUAUUUAUGACAACUAAAGCAUAAUUGUAAUAUUUAUUCAGCUAUUUCGUUUCAAAAUUAAGCUGAUUUUCACUAGGGUAAGAUUAAAAUGAACAUGCAGAAUAUCUCGUUAAAGCUGUGCUUAUUCCAGGUGUCUGAAAAGUGACCAUUCCUUUCUCUGGGAUUGGCCAUUGUUUUGUUAUAUUUUCCCACAUAUUUUCUUUUAAUUUCUACAUUUAUGCUUCAAUUUUUAUAGCAAAAAAUUUACAUCUGAUUAUCUUUAUGUCAAUAGUGCGUACUAAAAAGUAUAAUUGUAUGUACCUGCUGAGGGUCUUGAAAUUUUUUUAAUUCCACUUCAAUUAAAUUUGCCAUGGAUUUGAUAUAGCCUUCUCGUUGGUACCAAGAUGGUAUGACUGUGUGUUGCAUGUUAACCAGAUAUUCAUCCUCCCUGAAUAACUAAAGCACUGUCAACAAGUCUAUAUAUGCUUCUAUAUGACCAAAGUUAUUAAUUACAAGCAAAAACUAACCUGAAAAUACUUUCUAAUAAACGAAGGCUUGAACCACUUGUAGAUAUUGAGAACUGAGGAUAAAGAGGCAGCACAACAAGCUUGGUGAUGCCAUCAUUUUUAAUCUGCAUAGACGAUUAUUAAAAAUAUCUUUUACAAUCUAAAUACCUCAAAAGGAAUAGAAGAUAAGUGCAACCUUCAUUCACGUGAUUCUAAUUUUCUAAAUACAUACAGAAACAGAUUAUUUUAAUUUCUUUAUUUAAUUUAUUAACCAAUAAUAAAAUUUAAAAGAAAGAUCACCGACUGUUUGAUCUAUUAAAAAGAAUGCUGAUAACCAAAAUGAACACAACUCCAUAGAGAAAAAUCUGCAGUCAUACUAAACGAACAUGAUCAUUGGCAAGUAUAAUGAUUUUUUUUACCUUCUCAAUAGCUUCUUCUGUAAAGGGAUGCCAAUAACGCAUUCCAACAUACACAUGUGCAGGCACACUUUUGUCAAUCAAAGAUUUUCUUAGUUGUUCUGCCUAGUAGGAAAAAAUAUAUAAUUGAAUCAAAAAAAUGAAGACCAAGCAUAAUUGAAAGAUUUAAUGUUUGAAUUUGAUUAUAAAAAGAACUAAGUUUGUACUAUUAAUGUUAUCAAGCCCCACCCCCUAAAAACGAUAUAUAUAUAAUUUCUCCCCUUGGAUAUCUUAAGGUUAUUUCCCUCCAUCUCUCCCCUUGAUCUCACUGUUUGAGAUUAAAAUAAUCAAAUCAAGGUUUUUUAUAAGGAUGCAUAAAUUCGUAAUGGGUUCUUCCUAGUUCCUAUCAUUUGAGAAAGCAAUGGGUUCUUCCUACAUAGAUGAUUCUUUUUUUUUUAAAGCAAUUAAAUUUCAUUAAGAAAAAAGGGCAAUGGCCAAGUUACAUAGAGUAUAAAAAAAAGAGAGCAAGAAGAUCAUUGACUCUCUUCCAUUAGCUAUGUAAUCUAGUUAUAUAGUAACUAGAUACGCUGCUUCAGGAGGUUGGUCUCCCAUACUUCCAUUAUAAAUGUCUCCAAAGAGUGACAACAAUUCUUCUUGUAACACUUCGGAUCAAAGGAGAAACUGAUGUCUUUAAUGACCUCCUUAAGGACUACCUCAAGAGGCCUACUAACGCUGUUUGUAUCUUUUAUUUCUUUCCGUCCAUAUAUACCACGACAAGCACCCAAUAGCAUUCCAUAGUAGACAUAGAUGAUUCUUGUCUACAACCUUAUAAUGAGUAAUCUUGGAAGUUGGAAGAACUUGUUAAGUUAUGUUUUGGGAUUUGAUUUGAACCUUAUGUGCUUAUGUUUGUGUUUGACCUUACAUUUAGUUAAUUGAUGAAGAGCUAAGACCCAAGUGAUAAGUGUACUAAUGUAGUAUUUCAAACUUAUGUUAUAUGUAAUGCUGAACAGGCAGAAAAUUUACAUGACAAAAAAACCUAUGUCAGUAUCGCAAAAGAUGCUCUAGUUCAUGCAAGAGAAAGACUCAAAGAUACUUAAAUUAUAUUUUUCACAUUGGGGAGCUGGUACAGGAAUACGAAUCGUUUGUAACUUCAAUCAAAACACGAUCCGAUCAUUCCAUGACCUUUGCAAACGAAAUUAACGACAUCGGAGAACAACACUGAAAUUAACGCUGUCAUAAAAGAUUUUCCCAAGGCCGAUGAUAGCGUAAACAUCUGUGAAGUUGAUAUCGUGGCAAAUCUGUUCGAGGAAAGUUCAUCUGAAUGGCUCAAGAAUUCCUUCAGCCAAUCUGGUAACAUCCUCUACUACAAUGUCACCGAUUCUGAGACCACAUGAGCAGCUCAGGUGAGCACUUUCAAACAUCUUCUCAUUUUGGUAAUCAACGCUAUUUGACAUAUAUAAGGAUAAAAAAGUUGCAACUCUUGUUCUUUUGCAAAGUAAAUUUAGUUUGAAUGUUGUAUUUGGAAUGUAAUUUUUAUUACUCUUUUGGUUUGCAUUUUGCAUUUGGAUUUUAUGAAUUGUUUUAUGUAUUGUAAAUGCAAAAAUAAAACUGAUUACGACCACUAUAUAAAACUGCAUGUGUAAAUACCAUUAAAUGCUCUGCCAGAUCUUUUAAUAUAACACAACAAAUCUAAAAUUUUAAUUACAGUAUGAAUGAAAAGGCAGAAGCAAAUGAAUCAUGUGAUUAUUUUAAAAAAUCUUAAUAAACUAGUUUGACAAAGAUUUGGUAACAAAGCAUGGUUGAAAAAUAAUGUAACCAUGUAAGCAAAAAACUUUACUUGUGCAUCAGUCAUUUGUCGAAGGGGAGAACCACCACCAAUAGAAGCAUAACCUUCUUUGCUUUUGGAGGCUCUAGCAACAGAAAUGAAUUGUGCAAGAGGCUUUUGAAGAAAUCCAAACAACUUUGGAAGACGGAUGAUGUCCUGUAAAAAUUUACAGAUAAAAUAAGAAGAAAAUAUUUCAGGAUUUAGGAAAAAAUAAGACAUGGGGGGGGAUACAAGAAAGCAUGCUCCAUGUCCUAUCAAAUUAAUAGUUUCUGGAUAUUUAUUACUAAGAAAUUCUGUCAACAAAUAUUUAUACAUAUCAUAAAAUCAUGUGUUUUAAAUACGACAGUAUAAAAGUUAUGUUAUAAUUUCAAACACAUCAUUCACAUAAAGUAAUAGGGUAAAAAAAAUUAACAACGAAGAUGAAAAAUAAUAUGAGAAACACAAGUUAAUCAAAAUGAUACAGAGUAGGCAUAUUACCGGAUCUGCAAAAAGAUUAAACAAAAAUGGCUGCACAUCUUCAAGAGUCUCUGGACCUCCAAGAUUAAGUAAGAGAACCCCAACUUUGUCAUUGCCCAUGAUAAAUUUAUUGGGUGCAACCUGCAUCUGAGAAGUUAAGGCAGUCUCAGAAGAAGACACAUGUCUUUGAAAUGGAUUUUUUGAGACCAACAAAGGCUGAUAAAUUCCUGGAAAACUUUUCACGACCAAGGACCUUUUCUCUAGGCCCGAGACAGGACGAGCGUCCAUACGAAGUCCAUAAAUACGAUUAGUGUGAUUUAUACAUUUCUGAGAACUGAUUCUGAAAUGAUCAGUCACUAUAUUAGAUAGAGGCAUAUUUUUCUUAAUAGAUAAUGUAUCUUUAAUAAGGAAAAAGGUACUUAUAGUGAUACACUUAUUUUGCUAUAAGAUAUGUAAAGAAAUAUGAGUUACAAAGGAAUGAAUCGCACAUUUUGUAACCAAACUAAAUAUGAACAAAACACAUUUUCUCACUCUUGGGAAGAUGGAUGAUGUCCUAUUAUAUGUAGACAAGAUCAACAAAAUACCUUAUUGACGAAGAUUGAUUUUGAGAUAAAUUAAAACAAUGAAGAUUCAAGCUUCCCGUUUCGAUCAUGCCUCGUGUACUAGCUUGAUAAGACGACGACAAUCGUUCCCCUGAUAGGGGAAAAAUCAAGUUAUCGAUAUUUUGCACAAGAAAUUUUAAUAGUGAAAACCUUGUGUGAUACAAGAGGUUGAGAUUUUAAAACCCAAAGAUUUUUUACAACUAUACUCAUGCAAACACAUGAUGCUUGUUGUAUAGAAUUCUAUUAACUACUGUGGUACAAUCGAUUGCACCGUUGACAUAAAAAAAAAUGUUUUUAUCCAUUACCAUUUACCCACACUAAAAAGUAAAAACAAGCCAAUCUAUAUGCUAUCCCGGGAAUCACAAAUACGAAACCAAUCGAUUCCACCACAAAAAAACUCACAACUUCAAUCCAAAAACACAUGAGUAACAACGCUACUCCAAAAACGAACACAAUUGGGCACAAUAAAUAACAAAAGACAGUUACACACAAAACAGAUCCUGAAAAAGCGACAGUUACAGUGAGAAACCGGCGAAGCGAUGUAGAGCAUGAAUACGUCAAGUCCCAUACCUGGAUCCUCUAAUAUCUCCGACGAUCGCGGACGCAGAAAGUUCCAAAUCCCCAACCUCCAGGUUUUGUGGACGAGUGGCACAGUAAAACAAGAGGCGGUCUGAAGAGGCGAGUGGAUGAGAUGACUUGGACGAAAUUAAAAAUCGUAGAAACAUAAGGACAUAUUUCACAAAAAAGUAACAUUGCUAAAGAAUUUAUGAGUAAUUUAUUUUCUAACUAUUUUAUUGAUUAGUUAAUUAUAUGUGAAAAAUUGAAAAUGGUAUUAAUAAAAGAAAAUAGUUUGGACUUUUCUGAAAUUUUUUUAACAUGCAUGUAAAUAUGUAAUAAAAUGACAACUAAGAAUGUGAUGGAAGAUAAUCUUAUAUUGGAAUUUCGAUAUUUGACAAUUGACAAAUCUUAAAGCUGAGAAGUUGGAAGGGGUUAUACUCUAAAUCUCCAAUACUUCAUUUGCUGAAUAUAAUUUAAUUAUUUAAGUUAUAAUUUAUAAAUAUAAAAUAACUUUUUUUCUUUGUAUGCCUAUGAACAGUAUGAAGUAAGAACUACUUAAUACUCUAACAGGUUUAAAAAAAAAAAAAUAAUAAUAAUAAAAAAUAAAUAAAUAAAUAUAUGAAAAAUGAACUACUUUAAUACCAUUUUUAUUGAAAAAAAUAUCAUGAUAAUUUAUUGAUUUCAUUUUCAUGUAUCUUAUUGAAAAUAUCUCACAUAAUUUUUUGUUUCUUUGUAUAAGUAUACAACCAACGGCAACGACCAAUGGAUGUCACGUCAUCUGACAGCUUGGUUUGGGUUGGAAAGCUUUUGCGGCGCGUUACCAAGAACAACAACAAAUGACAGCAAUUUCGAUGUCUUCUGCUUUUCUUGUUAGUUGGAAAUAGUCAGAAAUAUUCAUCUUUUGAACCGUGUUUCUUUAUAAUAUUCUAUCUUAUACAACCACCGUAUACGAAUAAUAACUGUAUAACGUAUGUAUAUGUAUGUUCUUUGGUUCUUAAAAUGCUAUUCAUUAAUCAUUACUGUUAUGUAAUAUUAUUUAUUUCUUUUACUUGACUAAUUACAUUACAUUACAUACUUAUUCAAUUAAUUGAAAAUUGAAAUAGUCGUUCAGUUUUCAUAUUUUGAUGUGAUCAAAUCAAACGAAUAGACCGCCAAACGGAGUAAAAAAUGGAAUAAGAAAAUCAACGACUUUCAAAAGUUAUACUUGCUCAUUUUUGGAUAUUUCCAUAAACUCACCAAUCUAUGACGUAUGAUCAUCCAUCAUCGAUUGAUUUCUAAUAUGGACGGUUAUCAUGACGUCACCUGUCAAUUGUGUUUAAAGAGUAAUAAUAAUAAGAAAAGGCCAAAAGGAUAACAAUGUGAGGGUGAGGCAGAGGGAGGACUGGGGAAAGGAUUUAGGAAAUUAGCCGUUACGACUUAUGAUGACGCGGUUGCCAAAAUGAGGAGAAACAGCGAUGGUCCGAUGAAUGGACGAUAAAGAGACAAAAUUUCGUAGCCUCACAGCCGUUUAUUAUUAUUUUUUUUUUUUAAGAAAUAAAAAUAAAAAGGUAUUUUUGUUGCUGUUCUUCAUGAUAUGUCUGUCGACCUGUCUUUCUAUUUAAUCCUGCCUUUCGUUGGUCUUCCCUGGUUUUCCCCCAUCUCUGUCCGUUUCCAUCAUUUUUGCCUUGUCAUUUCUGCGUAGGAUCCCACUCUCAAUCUCUCCGUCUCCUUCACCAUUUUCAUCCAUCGCCGUCUUGCUCGCUUCCAAUCUGCAUUUUCCUUUCGAUUAGGUUUCUAAUCUAAUUAUAUCCAACUCCUUUCUAUUCAAUAUUCAUUUCCUUUUUGGGUUACCUCUCCGAUCUCGUCAUUCUCGCAACUGGCUCACCAUCAUCUUGCAGCAUCCCAGAGGGCGGAGGGGGAACCGUAUCUUGCUCAUCUCCCUUCUCAGAUUUAAACACACACACAGACAGAGAUUUACAUACGUACAUACAUCUCCUUCUUUUGUUGUUUUCUUCCUUGUUCAGAGAAUGAAAUCUCUUCCCAAGAGCAAACGAGACGAAGUCGACGUCUCAAACGAGUUCUUCCCGGCAACACCAAGAAAGGAAUUCUCAAUAGGUCUAAUCCGGAUCGUCACGGCCAUGGUCAUCUUCAUGGCCGGAGGCGUGUUGGGUCUUUCGGUAAGUUCGACUUUCACGAGAUACUACCCUUUACACACCGAUGUCUUCUUCCCGGAAACGCGUUACAUCUCCAACAGCAACAGGGAUUGCUCCGGUAUUCGGAAUUUUGUAAAACCUGCACAAGUCAACCAUAACAUGAACGACCAGCAGCUUUUCUGGAGAGGGUCGAUGGUGCCUACGAUCAAAGAUUACCCAUUCAGGAGGGUCCCCAAAGUCGCCUUCAUGUUCAUGACAAGAGGUUCGAUUCCUCUCCAACCGUUAUGGGAUAAGUUCUUCGACGGCCAUGAGAAGUACUUCUCCGUCUACGUUCAUACUGCCCCUGGAUAUAAACUUAAUGUUUCCAAAACCUCCGCCUUUUACCGUCAGGAGAUUCCAAGCCAGGUACCCUAAAUCAACAACCACCAUCCAUCCAAUCGAUAACCAACAAUCACAUCCAUACAUUAACAUACUGUUUCAUCAUAUCUGCUCCCUACUCACUCAUGUGAUUCCUUUGGUCAGGUUGUGGAAUGGGGAUCGAUAACACUGGUAGAUGCAGAGAAACGACUUCUGGCAAAUGCAUUACUGGACUUCAACAACGAGAGAUUUGUUCUGCUCUCGGAGAGCUGCAUUCCGAUAUUCAAUUUUCCCAAAGUGUACAACUACUUGAUAAACUCCAAGCAGAGCUACGUUCAAUCCUACGACGAAGACACCCCGCGCGGACGAGGGCGGUACAGCCGCCAUAUGUAUCCGGAGGUCAGACCUUUCCAAUGGCGGAAAGGUUCGGAGUGGUUCGAGUUAAAUCGAAAGUUAGCAGUCACCAUGGUAUCAGAGUCUAAAUACUACCAUGUCUUCAAGAAGUAUUGCAGACCUUCGUGCUACCCAGAUGAACAUUAUAUUCCAACCUAUCUAAACAUGUUCAAUGGCAGUUUGAAUUCAAACCGAACCGUAACUUGGGUGGAUUGGUCGCGAGAAGGUCCUCAUCCAGCCAUGUUCGGGAACGAGGAUGUUACCGAGGAUUUUAUAAACUCGAUAAGAAACAAUGGAACCAUCUGUACUUACAAUAACAGACCUACUUCAGUCUGCUAUCUCUUUGCUCGGAAAUUCGCUCCAAGCGCACUUCGGCCACUUCUCAAUAUGUCCUCCAAACUCAUGAAAUACUGAAGAGAGGCUAGGGUAGACUAGGCUAGGAUUCUCUCCCUCCCUCCCUCUCCUCCUACAAUGGAGAUAAUUCUUUUGAUUCUUUGAUUCUUUUUUUUCACAAGGAACAAGUCAUAUUGCCUGCCUCCCCGGCCGGUCACGCCGCCGGAAGUUGGGGCCAAGGCGGCACUGGGCCCAGGGUUACCAUAUAUAGUAGGCACAGGACAUGCUACGCAUGAUGAGCCAGCAGUUUAGAAUUGUUAUUGCUUUCUAUGCUGUUUACAGACAAGAAUUCAGUGUAAAAUCAGGGUGGAAAGGAAAACUACUUCUUCUUUUGUGAAUAUAUAAAUUCAAAUUUCUAUUGCAUAUCUACAUAAUUACAUUGCAUUGCUGGAUCACCUGGAUGUGUGUGUUAUGACUGUACUUGAUGUUUACAGGUUUGGCAAGGACAUGUUAACUACCACAUGAUCUCCAGUCUGGAUUUCAUGUUAAGUUGCUCAACUAUAAAAAUUAAACCAUUCCUUUUCAAAAUGGAAACCUCAAAUAACACUCAAGGUUCAGGCCUCAAAACUGUGAAUUCUUUUUAACUCAUUUCAUUCAAAUUCUGGAGUGAAGGAUUGAUUGAAUGAAGUUGAAACUAGUUGAACUAAGUCGUCUAAAUCCUCCUCCUCAUGUUAUUGAUGUUUGAUAGCACACAAACUGUGUGUCUUUUCAAACCAAAAUACCAAAUACUAAACAAACUUGAAUAUCAGACAGACUUCGUGAACUUUAAGAGUCUACACAAACUAGUUGAGAUAAUCCACACGCACACAUAAUGAUUCAUUAAAUAUGCAGACAUGACAAAAUCAUAAUGAAUAUACAACAAAACACAGAGAACACACGCCUAAUCAAAGAUUUAUUUAUGUAUAAAAGGCAGAAGCAAGAGUUUAUUACUUUUGUGGAUGGACAGAAGAAAGACUUAUCUUAAUCCUUAUUGUCUGUCUUAUCGCUAUGCCAUUGCAGGCCAUGGAGUGAUUCCGGAGGCCGGGAAAGAAGCUUUUAUGAGAGGUAAACGCCUAAUCGUGGUAAAAGCUUCGUUCAGACGUGCAACUCGACUCACUGAUUGUGAUGCCCUCUGCAUAUUACAUGCAAGUUAUGAACAGAUAAGUAUAGUGUUCUAACUUCAAAUCUUAAUAUCUACUCAGAAAAUCAAUAUAGAUAAUGUUCACCUUGCUGCCACUGAAGCUGAGAUUCACAGGUAUGGUCUGAUUCUUCUUCUUCUUCAAUCUGUACCAUCUUCUUUUCCCAAGCAUUACAAACCCCAUCACGGCCAUGGCUGCUAUAGAUAUUGACCAAACAGGUUUCAUGUUGAAAAUACAGUACUUGAUUAGGUCCAGUGGGAGCUUCCAAAAAAGUACCAACUUAGAACUGAUUCCAUUGCUGAUGAUAGGUAUAUUUUCUGUUUCACUCUUCUUCAUAGGGAUCGUCUCCGAUUCUAGAGAAUUCGCCUUCGAGGUUAUUGAUCUGUCGACUUCGUCACUAACCUCCUCCGGAUGUUGAGAAUCAUCACUCUUUGACUCGAUUUUUUUAACAAUCUCAACUCCUCCAUAACUCCCUUCUUUUUUUUCUUCCUCCACAUACAUCCUCCCCAUCAAAUCCGACGAAUUGACAUCCCCUGGAACUUCAACCAUUCCCUUCCCCUUCUCCUCCUCCAGUUCCGAACCAACAGCCAUCUCUCCGUCCGAACCACGAGAACGAACCUCCACAGUCACGCCAUCAUCAGAGUCGACAACUAAGUAAUUCUGGGUUUCAGAAUCGUCAGUUUCAAGAGAGGGGAUCUCGUUUGGGUGCUGCAGCAACUCCCAAUCCAACAGCUCAGCUGUGUACUCCUCCAUCUCCGCCAUGCCGGAGUUCGGUAAAUGAUUAGGGUUUGAUCAAAACGUAGUUCGUACGCAAAAGAGAAGAAGAAGAAGAAGAAGAAGAAGAAGAAAGGAAUGUUUUGGAAUUUAAUCCCAAUUUCCCAGCAGUAAUGCUACAAAUGAUUACGGACGAUCCACGAUAUGUGCCAAGUAAGUAGUAGGAAAGCAAAGUAUCUAAAUAACUAAUGCAAGAUAUGAUUAAAGCGAAAGUGAUUGCCAAUAGGACGGAGUAAAACGUAAAUUGAAAAAAAACAGGAAGCGACGAUACAAUAAAAAAAAACUAUACACUUCUUUCUUCAAAUUCAAACCAUUUACAAUCUAAAUUCCCUUUAUAGCAAAAACACCAAAACUGAGAUAGAUAAAAAAAGGAGAUUUUAACCAUUCUACAUCUGGCUUGAGGAAGAAGAAGUGACGGCCGUGACAGACGCAGUGUCUGCGCCGCCGCAGUAGUAAUCGUCAAAUGGCGUGAUAAACUCUUCUUCGGCAACUUGACAAUGCUCGAGAUCUCUCAACGCCAGGGAGUCCGCUAUGGGACAGUAAACCAGCAUCCAAAUGCAGAGGAGGGUACACGAAAGCAGUGCUGAGAAGGCGAUGAAAACAAACGUUUCGUGCAGAAAACCUCCUGGUCGGGGCAAAACUGAGACACCAAGAAGACUCACCCUGAGCAGCAACAGAGAGAUCACUGAGACAACCAGGACGUAUAUUCUCCUGUGGAGGCUCUUAUUGAUCACUGUUGUUAGCAUCUUGAAUCCGAGAUAUGCUAGGUAACUUAUCAGAAUGGCGUCGAAGAGGCCAAGGAGGAGAGUGUUGAUCAAUGGGUAGAGGCAAACUACGGUGCCGGUGCCGUCAAGCAAGUAAGAGGACACGUCUGUAAAGUACUUGUUUAGUUUGACCAUGGCCUGGCUACUAUCCUCCUCCACCGUUACGAGUACGGGUCCGGAAAAAACAAGGACGAGUUGCAGGAUAAAGAUCGGGAAGCAGAUGAGGAAGACGUAAAGCAUGACUCUUCUGUCCCACCGGUGACUGAGAGCGCCGGAUUCUUUCUUCUGCAACGAAGAACGGAGGAGGAACACGAGCAUGAGAAUCAAGGUCGGUUCGGCGAAUCCGAUGUUGGAGAUUACGUAGAACUUGCAUAUGGUAUCUUGCAAUGCUGGUGUGGUGAAUAUCCUUCCCCGCCCUUUUAGCAACCUUAGUCUUAUUAAUUCCCCAAAUCCCCAAAGAAUCGCAACUAAAAUGAACGCGAUUCGGAUUAACCAGGGGCCGUUAAAGUAUCUCAGUUGAAUUGGAUGAUCUCGCCUUCGUUGUUGGGUUUGAGAUCGGAAGUAGAUUGAGUAAACGAUGCAGAGUAAGCCAAGGACAGCUAGGAGAAGCAGUAGAGAAACCGUCGCUGCACCGAACGCAUCGGCAAUAUGUCUGCGCAAGGACAUCACCCGAACAACAGAUUCCACGCAUGCUCCCUGCCAGCAUCGAUACACAAAGACCCUAUGAUGCCCGUCGCCUUCCCUUUUUUAUUUCUGCCCCUUCUGCCGUGACGUUCUUCAGGGUUGUUGACUGACAAAAAAAGCACACAAAUCCCUACCAAUUGUUAGAAUGACUGUCUGAACCCUAGAUAGACGACUGAAUACCACACAACUAACAACAAACAAUCUGCAAACCAUAGGACCAAAAUAGAAAGAAUCAGCAGGCAUACCUUAAGAAACAAAAUCGACAGCAAUCCCCAGAAAGAUUGAUGCAAUAUUCAGAUCAGGAUUCCACCGCGUCGAAGCAAGAAGUCGCUCAACGAACCAACAUUCCCUACCUGCCACAGGGGAAUACACAGGAUUCCAAGAACGAAGAAGAAAAUCUCAAGGCAACUAGACGAGGGAGAAAAGAAGAGAUGAAAGUGGAGGCGAAUGAGAUUAUGGAAGAGAGAGAGAAAGAGAAGGUUGGAAGAAGCUUGGUUGUAGACAGUCUGUCACCAGCUGUAACUUUAGGUUCGGAGUAACUCCGAGCCUACCUGACAAGUGACAACCAAUCCACAGCUUCCAAGUGCAUUGAGUUAUAACAAAUAAAAUCCAAACGGGUCAGGGUCGUCAGAGUCGAUUGAGAAACUACAAGAUUUAUCAUUUGAGGAUGGUUUGAUUUAGGUUUGACCAUGACCUGGUCCAAAAUUUAACCCUUUCAUCUCACUAGCUGGAUGGAGCUGGCUCAACCAAGAUUCCAUAUUUCCAUGUUUGCAAAUUGCAAUCCAAUAAAUAAUACCAAGCUGUCAAUGUGUUUUGUCUGUCUGUAUUGCAAACAGUAUUUCUUUCUAGACAAAUAAAUAUGUUCAUGAAUCAUGUUGCUUGCUUGCUGAAGUGAUCUGAGUUGACCAGAACUGUUCGUGAGAGCGAUGACCUGAUCCAACCCGAUCAACAAGUUCUGCAAACCAAGUGUAACUUGUAAAUGUAACCUUUGAAUGAAAAAGUUGUAUGGUUGAGGUUUUCCAAAAGAAUCUCAACAUCACAAGCUCAAAGUCAAAAUAUCUUAAAAGAAAAACAUAGUUGUCUUGCAUCACUUGGCUUGUUUAUGUGAGAAAAAUUGAAGAGAAAAAUAUACGUAUACGAGAAUUUAGCAAUUUACCUGUUUACUAGGAUUUACGCAGGAGAAAGAUUCUGGGGUAUCCAUAUUCGCAUAGUGUUGUCAUAAAAUGAACAAGUAGCAACAAGACAUGACGAUUCAUUUCUAUCUCUGCAACUUCUUUGCCAAUCUGCACCAUAAGCUAACGACUCGUGCUUCUUGUACUUUUCUAUAACUGUGAUAUCAUCAUUUUUCCCAAUUCUGAUUAUGGCAAAAUCAUUAUGCAUGCAAGCAGCCAGUACCAAGUCUGGAUUAUCAGGAUGGUAUUUGAUUCUCCACACCCCACCUCCUAAAUUUAUGGAACAUUCAUCUACGGGUUUUGAAACAGAUCUUACAUCCCACACUCUCAGAGAUUCAUCAUAGCUCCCUGUGAGAACCAUGUUGGGGUUUGAAGGGUUCUUGGCAAUGCAACAUACACCCAUCUUAUGUGAUUUUGUGUUCCGAAAAACUGAAUUGGGGGGUGUGUCGCGCAGAUCCCAGCAACAAAACCGACAGUCAUCUGAGCCUGUGUACAGUAGUUGUGGUUGAUGAUAAUCGAUCAAUGUAGACCAAACUUCGUAAUCGUGAGCUUUCCAGGACUGGGAUACAUGUAUUUCAGACUCUGCAAGUGUUGCCAUGGAUACUGAACCAUCUGAAAGUCCAAGUGAGAUUGACGUAGAUGAAGGGCUCCAAUCAAGACACAAACACAUUGCAGAACUGAUAUUUUCUGAACCUACAGGCUUCAGCAUAGCUCCUCCUGCACAAAAUUAAAUAAUAAUUGUAAAUUUGUAAUUAUAGAAAUGAUAUUGAAGGCUGAAUAGCAAUAGCAUACCGCAUGCUUCGGUAGCUUCAUUGGACUUGAGUGAAUAAAGGCUCAGGCAUCCAUCAGAAUCGACUUGAGCAAGCAUAGGAUUCAAUAACCUUUCAUUUGGAUUCCAUUUCAUAUCAAAUAUACCCAUUGUCUGUACAACCUGAAGUAGCUGGAGACCUGUGACAGAGCAAGCUGAGAAGAGAGAAAUACUCCCAGAACGAUGAGGUUUGUCACCCUCAUGUAAUGUGUAGGUAGCAGCUGCAAGAACAUUGUGGUAAGGAUGAUGUGGGCAGAAUUCCACUACAUCGGCCCGGCCAUCAAGUUUGUAAUCUGCAAUAUCCAUCUGCAAGGACAACCCAAUUGGUAUGAAAUAAUUAUGAGAAAAUGAGAUUCAUAAAAGAUUGUCCAGAGAAUUAUAGCCACACACAUAAUCUGAAAAAACAAGUAUUUUUUUCCAAGGAAAACCAAAAUAAAAAUGGUACAAAGCACUAACUAAAUUACCAUCUGAUCCCGAUGGUCUGUCUUUCGUUAAAUUGGGUUGUUGAAAAAAAAUGAAGAGAGAAUUUCCAAUCCCCAAAUAAAAAUAAUUACUUUAUAAAUCUACCACCUGGAGAUCCGCCAUCUCCAAUAAGCAGCAAUCAAUCAUGUUAUCGGAUUUUAUUACUCUCAUUAAUUCAUUCAAGGAUUGUUAUUUGUUACAGAUGGGUAGAAACUAGGAAUGAGUGUCUGAAUUAAAAUAUAAAAGCACAUAAAAAAUUAGAACGAAGCAUGAAAACCCUAGAAGACCAAAUGCAAGAUGAAGAAAGAGAUUCUUCUUCCAAUAGCAUAAAUCGCAUUUGAUCUUAAAAUGAAAUGAAAGUUUGCAUUUUCGAAUUCUGAAAGAACGAGACGAACUCCAUUUACCUUGAAUCGAAAACAGUGUAGUGUAGCGUCGGCGAAAUCCCAAGACGAUGAAAGGGAGAGAGUGAGAGAUUAUUUUGAUAUUGGUGAAUUGCAAAAUAACUCUACGAAAUUAAUUAAUUAAUCUAUCUAGAGAAACUGAAAAUUUUGUAAUUGGGAUUUUUGAACGAUAGUUAGUCCCAGUUCCACCAUUGAAAAAGACAAAAAGCUUGUUCGCAUAAAAAAACAGUGACUCCACGUGAUUUCAGGUAUUUCCAUUACCGCAAAACCUUCUCCGCCCCUGAUUUUUAGGAUUCAUUAAUGUAGUAAAUUCGUUUUCGAAAACUAAAUUUUUAGGUAUUUUCGUUUUCCGGUGCUUUCGAUCAACCCAGUUUUUUUCCAAGUGUUUUAUAUUUUACAAGAUCGAUCGAUGCGGCGAUGCCUAUUGCAGCAUUGCCCAGGGAUUAUAAUUUAUAAAGAAGCUAGGGUUUAAUUAAUUUUCUGACCUGAGUUCUGGACAUCUGGAGCUUUGGUAGUACGU